AAGAUGGUUCGAUGAAAACGCGUCAUGUAAAUGUAACAAACUCAUGAUGCUGAGAAAAAGCUGCAAGGGAUGAUCACAGCGUUGAUACUGCAGUUGGUGGAUCACUUCUGCAAAGCAGGUGCCAGCAAUUGACGUCGGGAAAAUCUAACGAUGGCAAAGUAGCUGGGCCUGAGAACACUUGAGUCGAGCUAGCAUGUCUUUUGUUGGGUUGGUCUUAGCCUGAUUUGGGUUGGAAUUUUUUUUGGAUUAGGGCAAAAAGCCUGAGUUUGGUUUUUUUUUUUUUUUUCAUCAUGUUUUAUAAAUUUAUAGUUUAUAAAAUUUUAUUUUAUUUUUGUUAGGUUAGACUUUAGAAGUUGGGAUUACAG
Molecule: long non-coding RNA, 365 nt
Filed under: Citrus maxima (pomelo)
Lineage: Eukaryota; Viridiplantae; Streptophyta; Magnoliopsida; Sapindales; Rutaceae
Description: long non-coding RNA (CMAX_LNC002028)
Source: RNAcentral